ACAGUGGAACUUAACACCUUCUUCCUGAAAUUUUGUCUCUGGAUUCCUCCCAGGAACCCCUUGGUUGUGUAUCGGCUGAUCCUUUGGUGGUUAAUUGCUAUCCCGGCAAUUCGUGAGUACAACACCUACUUGCAAGACAGGUCUUCUUGACAUAUAGAUUAUAAUAUCCUCCUACACCUUUUCUAGAAUCAUGAGUUCCCAUCCCGGCUUUUGUUUAUGGGCGUGCAAUCUUUCUAUUGAUGGAUAACUAAAUAUUUUUUUCAAUAUAUCAAUUAUCUCAGAAAACCAGUGAAGAAGGUGGGAGCUUUUUGUUGGCUUUCGUUAGCUAUAUGCAUGGUAGAGCUGCUUAUAUGCAUGAAGUUUGGACACGGUGAGUUAUUUUAUAGUAUGUAGCAUAUUCUUGGCAAAUUAACAAGGGCAUACAGUUUAUGUCGAUACAUGCUUGGUCAGUCUUUGUGCUAACAUGAAUCAACAUAACCAGGUUUGUUUCAAGAUCCAAUGCCUACUUGGUUGAUUACUCUUUGGAUUUGUGUGGGGAUUUCUCUUGCGCUUUUCUUGCUGGAAUGGUCACGAAGGGAUCACUUACGCUCAAUAAAGCAGCUGUAAUAGCUUCAUCGCAGUGUUUCUGCUCCAAACCUUCUAUUACCUUGUAUUUGUUUGUUUUCAAGAUAACUAUACAUAGCUAGUCUCUUUAACUAGACCUUAAGGUAGGCAAAUUUUACUUGACAAUAGUUCCGCCAUUACAGGCCUGAGAUUGCGAGAGUUUCAAGAUAAUUAUAAUAUUUGGAACAAUUUUAUUUGAG
Molecule: small RNA, 803 nt
Filed under: Oryza sativa Japonica Group (Japanese rice)
Lineage: Eukaryota; Viridiplantae; Streptophyta; Magnoliopsida; Poales; Poaceae
Description: sRNA OsSUI3
Source: RNAcentral